Molecule: long non-coding RNA, 514 nt
Filed under: Volvox carteri
Lineage: Eukaryota; Viridiplantae; Chlorophyta; Chlorophyceae; Chlamydomonadales; Volvocaceae
Description: long non-coding RNA (VCAR_LNC003083)
Source: RNAcentral
GAACCUUCAGUUGUCCACCGAACACCAAAGACUACUCAGAAAACUACGUCAUCAAUAUAUUUUCAAAGCAGUCCUCUUUAAUAGUAAAUAAAUGAUGUUGGUCAAACAAGUAAUAGCCAUCUUCCCUGAGAACAUCCCCUAUGGCAGUCCGGAGACGUGUAACUCGUCAGGCUCAGUAGCUACGGGGCAGUUGUCUGGACAGGUUACUCGCCAGCUAGAAGCUUGGUAAAUGUGCAACCUUGAAAGUGUCAUAAUUAUGCACAGAUAUGCGCGCUGAGUGUGUGAAAUGUUAUGACGAGGUUAGUAAAAAUGUUUGCCAUCCAAUUUGAGUGUGGGGAGGCAUUAUUUGUCCUGACGAUUUGCUCUCUACCUACGGCCAUUUGGCAGUCCAGAGACGUGUAGCGCCCAAGGCUCAGCAGCUACGGGACAGUUGUCUGGACGAGGUUAUUUUUGACGUGCAGUCCCGAAAGCACAUUGGGAAGCAUGAAUAUAGCCGUUGAAUUCAUCAUAAGUG